UGAAUCCAGCAGUGCAAAUGCAAGCCU
Molecule: non-coding RNA, 27 nt
Filed under: Homo sapiens (human)
Lineage: Eukaryota; Metazoa; Chordata; Mammalia; Primates; Hominidae
Source: RNAcentral